Molecule: long non-coding RNA, 581 nt
Filed under: Homo sapiens (human)
Lineage: Eukaryota; Metazoa; Chordata; Mammalia; Primates; Hominidae
Description: HSALNT0115717
Source: RNAcentral
CCCCAAAGGAGAGAAUAGCUUACUCACCCUUUGUUUCUCCCCCGAGCAAUGGAGACUUUUCUUGUCAGUGCCUGGAAAAAGAAGAUGAUAAGACAAGCAAACUCAUUACAUUCUAGAAUAAUAACAACAGUGGAUAUUAAUCAAAUAUCUGUUACAUAUCUGAUCUAACUCCCAAUUGGGUAAUAGGCUCAUUGACAAUGGUGAGGACGGGCCUCUUUACCUGUGGUCAGUGCUCAGCAUAGCUCUAAACGUUGGAGAAGCCUGUGAAUAAACCUGACUGCUGAGAGCAGCUGCAUACGGAGCACCACUUAGCUGUUCCUACCACUCCAGAGGCUGCCGUGACAGCUAAUCCCACUGCAGGUGCAGCAGCAGUGCCUUUCAAGUCCUUUAGGCUCAACCUGCUGGCAACAGCACCAGCAGGAGGAAUUCACUGGAUGGUUUGCCAUUCCCCAUUUUAGCAGUAAAGUAAUUCCUAAAAUGGGGAGAGAAAGCAUGAUGAUAAAUACUGCAACUUGACCCUUCAGAAAUUGAUGAUUUCAUCAGACAAGGGCGCCACUGUAUAGUUAUUCCAGUGUUAAAGA